CGGACACGCCACUGUCCGCUCCUCUAUUCGCGUAGUAGUUCUACCCCUCUCCAACCACCCUCGUUUCAACCCCUCGAUGGCGACGCCCAGCGUCGAUCCGCCGUGUUUCCAUCUUCCACCACGCAGACUCGAACAUCCAUCGCUCCAUGGCGCUUGUGCGUGGCUCGUUGCAUCCUCCGAAAACACCGUGCUCGAUUUUCUCCUCAAAAUAUCCUUCUUGCAAUUACUCGCAAGUUAUCGCGACAUGAACCGCGUGAUUUAACGAGUGCUGUCGCAUACUCUGUGUUAAUUCGAACGAUGUUACAAACUGUUUCGAGUGCAAAGUGACAUUUUGAACCGAUUUAAGAUCGGCUUCAGAUUUUUUCAGUGACAUGUUUGUCGACACUUUCAGAUCCAAUUGUGUUAUUACACGGUCCGUAAGGAAGAUUGUGAUUGUCACGGAAUCGUAGAAAAGUUCGAUGCAUGCGUUUUCAUCCCUCGGGGCGCAGGCUCGUCCGGAAUCCAUUACUACCAUCCGGGGGUGGUGGGGUCUCUAGCUACGUUCUUUGGAAGCACCUCAAAAUAUUUGCGAACGAUGUCUUUUCAUACACAGGGUUAAUGUACGGAUGUCGAUUGUUCAAAGAGGGACUGUCGCGACGAAAGGGUUGAUUGAUGCUGACUCGGCUGCUUUAUCGCCACUUACACGGUGAUCAAGGUGACAACAGAAAAGUUACAUCGUUUAAAUUAAAAUCGGUUAAAACUCCAAUUACGGCUAUGAUUUCAUUUUGGGUCCACUUUCAGUUGCAUUCGUACGGAAAGCUAUUUAGGAACCAGUGCCCGCCUUAAUUCGAGUUAAUCCCCGAUUGGCAAACAUAAGGAGAUAAUACUAAGAGGAUUAACCCUCAACGCAAAGCUCUAGGAUUUUUGGAAGACUAUCGUUGUCGUAUCUGUUUCAAUCCCAGAACAAAAUAAUCCAAGAUAAACAAGGAACGCUGAUGACCAAGUAACCUGGAAAUGCAAGGUACAUCGACACGCGUGCUCGAAUAAAAGAAGCUGUACCGCUACGGAAUAAGAGAAGAAAGAGGAUGAAGGAGAACACGACCUUGCUACAUUCAGCUGUGUCAUCCGUGAGCCGUUAACGCUCAGGUGCUUUCGAUCCCAGGGAGGAGCAUCAAUCACUAUCGAUAGUGCAGGUGGUGAAAAGAAGAAGAAAAUGGAGGACAUUGUCGAUACUGGGCCAACGAAGAGGUUAUGCGGCACGUAUGUUACUCAAAAUCGUAAACAAGAAUCUGAUAAAAUUAUAGAAAAAGUUCUGCGUUGAUCAACGUGCCGAUAGGAGAAGGCCCAGUUAAUGCUCUACAUCUACCCUGUAGAUCCGAAUUUGUUUGAUAAGAGGCGACAAAUUCGGUUCUAGAGAGGUUUGUGUGGUGCAUACAGAGCUACGGUGUGGUCUCUAAACAGCGUGCAAACUCGCGAUCUAUUGCUAAUCGUUAUGACAAAGUUAAAUUAGUGGAAUUUGGGAGAGUUGGGAUUUGGGAGAGUUGGAAUUUGGGAGAGUUGGGAUUUGAGAGAGUUGGGAUU
Megachile rotundata (alfalfa leafcutting bee) is the source of this 1560-nucleotide long non-coding RNA. RefSeq lists it as uncharacterized. The record is from RefSeq and is a predicted model, not a curated record. Lineage: Eukaryota; Metazoa; Arthropoda; Insecta; Hymenoptera; Megachilidae.